This 496-nucleotide ribosomal RNA is filed under the name uncultured bacterium. RNAcentral describes it as "partial 16S ribosomal RNA". It matches the Rfam family "Bacterial small subunit ribosomal RNA", at positions 29 to 507 of the family's 1533-position model. The record is from RNAcentral.
AUGAACGCUGGCGGCGUGCCUAAUACAUGCCAGUCGAGCGGACGGACGAGAAGCUUGCUUCUCUGAUGUUAGCGGCGGACGGGUGAGUAACACGUGGAUAACCUACCUAUAAGACUGGGAUAACUUCGGGAAACCGUAGCUAAUACCGGAUAAUAUUUUGAACCGCAUGGUUCAAAAGUGAAAGACGGUCUUGCUGUCACUUAUAGAUGGAUCCGCGCUGCAUUAGCUAGUUGGUAAGGUAACGGCUUACCAAGGCAACGAUGCAUAGCCGACCUGAGAGGGUGAUCGGCCACACUGGAACUGAGACACGGUCCAGACUCCUACGGGAGGCAGCAGUAGGGAAUCUUCCGCAAUGGGCGAAAGCCUGACGGAGCAACGCCGCGUGAGUGAUGAAGGUCUUCGGAUCGUAAAACUCUGUUAUUAGGGAAGAACAUAUGUGUAAGUAACUGUGCACAUCUUGACGGUACCUAAUCAGAAAGCCACGGCUAACUACGUG